AAAGUGGCUGAGUUUAAAGCGUUAAUCUCUUAAAUUAAUUAGGAGAAAUUUAGUU
Molecule: transfer RNA, 55 nt
Filed under: Oxytate striatipes
Lineage: Eukaryota; Metazoa; Arthropoda; Arachnida; Araneae; Thomisidae
Description: tRNA-Lys
Source: RNAcentral